Sapajus apella (tufted capuchin) is the source of this 404-nucleotide long non-coding RNA. RefSeq lists it as uncharacterized. Lineage: Eukaryota; Metazoa; Chordata; Mammalia; Primates; Cebidae. The record is from RefSeq and is a predicted model, not a curated record. The transcript is spliced from 3 exons.
CAAUAACAGAAAGAAGAGUAAUUUUUUUCCAUGGGGUCAAAAGGUACCUAAGUAUAUGAUUGUGAGUGGAAAAAUAGGGGACAGAAAUCAGGUAUUGACAAUUUUUCCAUUUUCAUUUGUGUGUGAAUUUUUAAUAUAAAUGGAGAGGUAAAGCAUUAAUGCAAGUUAAAAUGUUUCAGUGAACAAGUUUCACCAGUUCAACUUUAUAAUUAUAAAUAAACCUGUUAAAUUUUUUUCUGAGCAAUGCCAGCAUUUGGAUUUCUUUUUCUAAAAAGUACAUGUCUUAUUGACAGCAACUAAAUGGUGUUCGUAGCAUUUUUAUCAUACAGUAGAUUCCAUCCAUUCACUAUGCUUUUCUAACUGAGUUGUCCUACAGGCAAGUACAUAUUUUUAACGUUGUCUGU